GACGAACGCUGGCGGCGUGCUUAACACAUGCAAGUCGAACGGAAAGGCCCUGCUUUUGUGGGGUGCUCGAGUGGCGAACGGGUGAGUAACACGUGAGUAACCUGCCCUUGACUUUGGGAUAACUUCAGGAAACUGGGGCUAAUACCGGAUAGGAUCUCCUGCUGCAGGGUGGGGGUUGGAAAGUUUCGGCGGUUGGGGAUGGACUCGCGGCUUAUCAGCUUGUUGGUGGGGUAGUGGCUUACCAAGGCUUUGACGGGUAGCCGGCCUGAGAGGGUGACCGGCCACAUUGGGACUGAGAUACGGCCCAGACUCCUACGGGAGGCAGCAGUGGGGAAUAUUGCACAAUGGGCGGAAGCCUGAUGCAGCAACGCCGCGUGCGGGAUGACGGCCUUCGGGUUGUAAACCGCUUUCGCCUGUGACGAAGCGUGAGUGACGGUAAUGGGUAAAGAAGCACCGGCUAACUACGUG
This 468-nucleotide ribosomal RNA is filed under the name uncultured bacterium. RNAcentral describes it as "partial 16S ribosomal RNA". It matches the Rfam family "Bacterial small subunit ribosomal RNA", at positions 28 to 507 of the family's 1533-position model. The record is from RNAcentral.